Molecule: ribosomal RNA, 259 nt
Filed under: uncultured bacterium
Lineage: Bacteria
Description: partial 16S ribosomal RNA
Rfam family: Bacterial small subunit ribosomal RNA
Source: RNAcentral
UACGUAGGGGGCAAGCGUUGUCCGGAUUCAUUGGGCGUAAAGAGCUCGUAGGCGGUUGGGCAAGUCACGUGUGAAAUCUCCACGCUCAACGUGGAGGCGCCACGUGAGACUGCCCCUGACUCGAGUCCGGUAGGGGAGCGUGGAAUUCCCGGUGUAGCGGUGAAAUGCGCAGAGAUCGGGAGGAACACCCCGUAGCGAAAGCGGCGCUCUGGGCCGGUACUGACGCUGGAGGGAGCGAAAGCGUGGGGGAGCAAACAGG